AAGACUAUACCUUCAGGGAUCAUUUCUAUAGUUCGUGACUAGAGAAGUUUCUCUGAUUGUGUAGAGCACCGAAAAACAAAAAAAAAAAAAAAGAGAGAUUUAUAUAUCAGAGU
RNAcentral lists this small nucleolar RNA (113 nucleotides) under Echinops telfairi (small Madagascar hedgehog). RNAcentral's name for it is "Small nucleolar RNA U3 (ENSETEG00000026777.1)". It matches the Rfam family "Small nucleolar RNA U3". From Rfam's summary of the family: Small nucleolar RNAs (snoRNAs) are involved in the processing and modification of rRNA in the nucleolus. There are two main classes of snoRNAs: the box C/D class, and the box H/ACA class. The record is from RNAcentral. Lineage: Eukaryota; Metazoa; Chordata; Mammalia; Afrosoricida; Tenrecidae.